UUGUCCUACGGGAGGCAGCAGUGGGGAAUAUUGGGCAAUGGGCGCAAGCCUGACCCAGCAACGCCGCGUGAAGGAAGAAGGCUUUCGGGUUGUAAACUUCUUUUAUCAGGGACGAAGCAAGUGACGGUACCUGAUGAAUAAGCCACGGCUAACUACGUGCCAGCAGCCGCGGUAAUACGUAGGUGGCAAGCGUUAUCCGGAAUUAUUGGGUGUAAAGGGUGCGUAGACGGGAUGUCAAGUUAGUUGUGAAAUACCUCGGCUCAACUGAGGGACUGCAACUAAAACUAACAUUCUUGAGUGCAGGG
Molecule: ribosomal RNA, 305 nt
Filed under: uncultured bacterium
Lineage: Bacteria
Description: bacterial SSU rRNA
Rfam family: Bacterial small subunit ribosomal RNA
Source: RNAcentral